This is a long non-coding RNA of Manis pentadactyla (Chinese pangolin), 987 nucleotides long. RefSeq lists it as uncharacterized. The transcript has 3 exons. The record is from RefSeq and is a predicted model, not a curated record. Lineage: Eukaryota; Metazoa; Chordata; Mammalia; Pholidota; Manidae.
GGGUCUUAGGGCAGGUGCCGAAGAGCUCACGUCGGGAUGGGAAUCCGCGGGAAGUUUCCCUGGGGACGCCUGUCUGGAAUGACAUGCCCGCAGAAAAGAAAGAAGCAGCACUGAACAGAGGGAGAUGUGGGACUUGGACACAGUAAUCCCUGUUCCCCACCAAGAAAAUCCAUGGUCACUGCUUCCUUUUCAAGCCACUGCAUGGCACAGCCGCCCAGUGAUCGGCACCGCCCUGUCACCCUCUAUCCUUGUCUGCUUCGCUGGCUUUUGAUCACAGACCUCAACUUAAAUGAUUUCCAUUGACUGCAUUUCAGCAUCAUUUGCUGAAGACGCUCUGAGCUUUCCACUCCCUGGGUCCUUACAGGCUCAAGGACGCCUUCCCAACAGGACAACAGUCCAAGGACAGGCCGCGCUGUGUCUCUGGGGGGCUUGCAGAUGACACUCUGUGGGCUUGUGACAGUGAGUGCCUCUCACUGAAGCUUCCCCAAGCAUGACUUCAUUGACUCAAUUUAAUUGGAAGGUGCUUUUUUUCCCAAGAAGGGCUCAGAAGCGCUUUGGUCCCUGAGUUCUAUCAUAUUUGGAGGAGUCUGCCCCUUGCCUUUGUACGUGAGGGACAGCAUGAGAGCAGGCGUGUUCUCUCGGGUCUUCUGCAGCCUGAAAGGUGUUCUCACAGGCUGCUGGGAUGAGCCUGGGGCUAGCCCGGGCGGCCCCCAUCCUUCCUUAUGAGCAGCUGCUUUUCAACUCGGGUGCCUGUGUCUGAAGGACUGCCAUCUUGGAAGGGAUUAACUCGCAUGCAUGGUGUUGGUGCUGCCUAAGGACUUGCCCGAGGUCAACUGCUCCACAUCUGUUCUUCUCAGGGGAGGACAAGCUCUUUCACUCUGCAGAUGCAAUUCCUCCUUUAUUCCGGAUCCUCUCUUCACAUGCUACCUACCGUUCCCUCCGCAUUCACUGUGAUGGUCUUUCCUCUAUUAAAGCACUUCCAUUUCA